RNAcentral lists this ribosomal RNA (460 nucleotides) under uncultured ammonia-oxidizing beta proteobacterium. Its description in RNAcentral is "bacterial SSU rRNA". It matches the Rfam family "Bacterial small subunit ribosomal RNA", at positions 202 to 644 of the family's 1533-position model. Lineage: Bacteria; Pseudomonadati; Pseudomonadota; Betaproteobacteria. The record is from RNAcentral.
AAAGUAGGGGAUCGCAAGACCUUGCGCUUUUGGAGUGGCCGAUGCCUGAUUAGCUAGUUGGUGGGGUAAUGGCCUACCAAGGCGACGAUCAGUAGUUGGUCUGAGAGGACGACCAGCCACACUGGGACUGAGACACGGCCCAGACUCCUACGGGAGGCAGCAGUGGGGAAUUUUGGACAAUGGGCGAAAGCCUGAUCCAGCAAUGCCGCGUGAGUGAAGAAGGCCUUCGGGUUGUAAAGCUCUUUCAGUCGAGAAGAAAAGGUUGUGACUAAUAAUCACAACUCAUGACGGUAUCGACAGAAGAAGCACCGGCUAACUACGUGCCAGCAGCCGCGGUAAUACGUAGGGUGCGAGCGUUAAUCGGAAUUACUGGGCGUAAAGGGUGCGCAGGCGGCUUUGUAAGUCAGAUGUGAAAUCCCCGGGCUUAACCUGGGAAUUGCGUUUGAAACUACAAAGCUAG